GGUGAGGGUUUUGAAGAGGCGGAAAUGGAUUGACGAAGGAGGGUUUUCGGUGGUGAUGGUCGGAAUCGAGUGAGUUUUGAGGAAGACGGAGGGUUGACGGUUGAUGAAAACGUUGAAGGUCGCAUGUGGUGGACGAUCGGAGAUGGAGAGCUGUUUGAAGGUUAAGCGGCGGUGAGGUUUAUGGUUUUGUGGUGGAUGAAGGUUUACGGUGGGAAGCGAUGAUGCUGAUGAGCCAUCGUUAGAAGAGAGAUUCGUGAGGGGUUUUUCAGAGAGAGAGCGUGAGAUUUUUUU
This 291-nucleotide long non-coding RNA is filed under the name Lathyrus oleraceus (garden pea). Its description in RNAcentral is "Pisum sativum (pea) long non-coding RNA (PSAT_LNC018707)". The record is from RNAcentral. Lineage: Eukaryota; Viridiplantae; Streptophyta; Magnoliopsida; Fabales; Fabaceae.